AAGAUUAAGCCAUGCAUGUCUAAGUAUAAGCAAUUUAUACAGUGAAACUGCGAAUGGCUCAUUAAAUCAGUUAUCGUUUAUUUGAUAGUUCCUUUACUACAUGGUAUAACUGUGGUAAUUCUAGAGCUAAUACGUGCUAAAAGACCCGACUCACGAAGGGUUGCAUUUAUUAGAUACAAAAGCCAACAUUUUCCAAUUGGUGAUUCAUAAUAACUUUUGCGGAUCGCAU
RNAcentral lists this ribosomal RNA (229 nucleotides) under uncultured fungus. RNAcentral's name for it is "partial 18S ribosomal RNA". It matches the Rfam family "Eukaryotic small subunit ribosomal RNA", at positions 40 to 274 of the family's 1831-position model. The record is from RNAcentral. Lineage: Eukaryota; Fungi.